GAUGAAGAACGCAGCGAAAUGCGAUAAGUAAUGUGAAUUGCAGAAUUUAGUGAAUCAUCGAAUCUUUGAACGCACAUUGCGCCCCCUGGCAUUCCGGGGGGCAUGCCUGUCCGAGCGUCAUUUCUGCCCUCCAGCCCGGCUGGGUGUUGGGCGCUGUCCCCCCGGGGACACGCCCCAAAGGCAGUGGCGGCGCCGCGUCGGGUCCUCGAGCGUAUGGGGCUUUGUCACCCGCUCGGGACGGACUCGUCGGCGCUGGUCUUCCUCCAGGCGACCCUUCGGGGCUCGUCUUCCUUCGGUUGACCUCGGAUCAGGUAGGGUUACCCGCUGAACUUAAGCAUAUCAAUAAGCGGAGGA
Molecule: unclassified non-coding RNA, 354 nt
Filed under: soil metagenome
Description: partial contains 5.8S ribosomal RNA, internal transcribed spacer 2, and large subunit ribosomal RNA
Rfam family: 5.8S ribosomal RNA (bases 1-120)
Source: RNAcentral